UAAAUUUUCUCUAGGACAAUCU
RNAcentral lists this microRNA (22 nucleotides) under Canis lupus familiaris (dog). Its description in RNAcentral is "cfa-miR-8838". The record is from miRBase by way of RNAcentral. Lineage: Eukaryota; Metazoa; Chordata; Mammalia; Carnivora; Canidae.